This 254-nucleotide ribosomal RNA is filed under the name uncultured bacterium. RNAcentral's name for it is "partial 16S ribosomal RNA". It matches the Rfam family "Bacterial small subunit ribosomal RNA", at positions 524 to 776 of the family's 1533-position model. The record is from RNAcentral.
UACGUAGGGUGCGAGCGUUGUCCGAAAUUAUUGGGCGUAAAGAGCUUGUAGGCGGUUUGUCGCGUCUGCUGUGAAAAUCCGGGGCUCAACCCCGGACUUGCAGUGGGUACGGGCAGACUAGAGUGUGGUAGGGGAGACUGGAAUUCCUGGUGUAGCGGUGAAAUGCGCAGAUAUCAGGAGGAACACCGAUGGCGAAGGCAGGUCUCUGGGCCACUACUGACGCUGAGAAGCGAAAGCAUGGGGGAGCGAACAGG